This is a long non-coding RNA of Chrysemys picta bellii (western painted turtle), 3413 nucleotides long. RefSeq lists it as uncharacterized. The record is from RefSeq and is a predicted model, not a curated record. Lineage: Eukaryota; Metazoa; Chordata; Testudines; Emydidae.
CAGCCAUAUACAUUUACCAUUUUUCAUUGACCUUGGCAACAGAAUAUGGCAGUAUAUUUUUUCAUGAGCAGAGGAAUCUUUUCCACUUUCAGGAGAGGGACAAGGUAAUGUAAUGACGAGGGCUCUUUAACUCCUGUAAGCUGGAGCAUGGCUGGACAGAUGGUUUUCACUCUACCUAACCUAACCUUUCCUUGUCUCACUCAAUCACUCCAGCAGCAUUAUUUGUCCUUUAUCUCCAUGCCUGGACUGAGAUUCAUCUGGAAUGAAUCUAGUUUAUAGGGUGGGAAUCUGGCAAUGGGAAUGGAGGUAUGCAGCAGCAAGACCAUAUUGUAGCAUGUCCUUUGAAAUGAGAGCCUGCGAGGUGCUAAAUAUUGAACUCUUCCAUUUUCCUUGGCAUGUGGUUCGGGUUUAUUGGUGAUUCUGAUGGAUCUGCACCUGGGGAAAGAUUUUGAUCGCGUGAGAAAGAAGCCAUUUGGAAAGCAGGAUUGCUGUAGGAUCUGAAAGAUCUCAUCCUGUAGGAUUUGACCAUGCAUCUUUGAACUUGAAUCUCUAGAGAUGAAUGAUCUAUUUUAGUCAAGUCUUUCCAAUCCACCGACAGUUUCUGGGCCUGAUUCUGAUCUCAAAUCCUGCAUAAAUCAGGAAUGAUUAGUGAUGCCAGUGGAGUGUCACAGUUGUAGAAGUGGGGUAAAAUUAGAUCAGAACGAGGAUCUAUAUUUAUAACUACAGAAUGUGUAAUUUGUAGUAGAUUAAGAUUUAAAAACCACAGCAUUUACAGAACUAUUUCUCAGAGGUUUUGUGUAUCUGUACUGCAAAUCUACAACACACACUUGGUGGAACACAAGUGGUAAACAACACAAAUGCACACAGAGAAGUAGUUGUCAUACAAUAAAAUCUCGGGCACAAUUAAGGUAAAGGAACAGGAUGUAUGUUCAACAUUGUUAUGCCCAAUAUAUCAUUGGUGGAAAAGUAAUGGAAAGUGAAAUUAUUUGUUAGAAUGCAAUUUAGGGAACCUGAUAGGUUGUCCAUUUUAUUCAAUUUAUAAUUAAGAUAGUGUUUAAAUUUGAAAUGAAUUCUAUAUAUGCAUGUUCAAUAGGCUAUAGCACAACAAUAAGAAUGGAAUCACAUCUCAUUUUAUCAUAAAUUGUGUAAUAAGCGAUAAGGUAAAAACUAGGGCUACAAUCCUUCCAGCAAAAAUGAAAGAGAGCGACCUCAAUUGCCCUAAUUCAUUCUGCUUUUUUUUUUUUAGUCUCUUCAUUUUCCCUCUGUUCACAUUAUUAGCUUACACAUGAGUGCAUUAUUAGAAAAUAACAAAGCCAAACGGGGAGCCUUGGAAGAAGUAGGAGAUAGGAUCCCCUCUACAGCUGAAAAGUAUUCUCAUUUCAUUUGUUAGGAGUUGCAAAAAUAGUUUUAUUGCCAGGGAGGGACAAUGACCUCUCUCUUUCAACAAGCUUGGUGGUUGGUCUUUUGAUGGAAAAAACAAGGGGAUACAACAUCUGGUAAUUUGUGUUACCGGGCUUAGCUGAAGGUCUUAACGAUGUAAGCAGAUUAUUUCUGAAGAAGAACAAAAAAAAUUCCGGAAGACUCAAUGAACUAUUUAAAGUUAUUAGCCGGUGCAUUCUGGCACUUCAGCACUCUUUUUGGAUUCCUUUUCUUUUUAGAGGUACGCCUUGGGAGCAGAUUGUUCUAAAAGGAGUUCUACCACCUUCCAACUCCACAGCACUUUUCUGGUGGUCCUUGCGUGUUCCAUCAUGCAUGCUGGGCCCCAUUUUUCCCCCUCCAUUGCAAUGGAGACAAUUAUUUUUCUGAUUACGUUUUCUCCUGCCGAACAUUAAGAAGCCUGUACCACCCGUUCUGGGCAGGGAAGGCUGAACAACGCACAUAGCAGCAGUCGACCUCAGAUUUUAAACAGUGGGGGGGGGGAGAAAAAUUGAUGGGUGGAGAGUGAAGAAAAAGAUAAAUUAUGUGUUCACAUGUCCAGGAAUUUCAGGCUGAAAAAAAAUGCCCUAAGGAAAACAUUCUUCGCUUCCCCACUCAACCCAUGCAAAUUGCCUUAAAAAGUCUUGCACAAUUUUAGUACUUUAUUCCUUCCUUGAGUUCCUAUACUCCAAAUAUUUCAAUUGCCAGUAGUGUGGUGGUUAAAAUAUUUGCUAGGUUGUAUAGUUUUCAUUGUAGGAAAUUGAUCCAUAUUUCCCACACAAAGAAAAGUUAUAGAAGAGUCUAUAGGUUUAGAUUAAGGAACAUGUUCUUCAGAAAGCCACAUUGUCAAACAGAACAACUGGCCAAGUUUUGGAGAGGAGAAUACAGGUUAGGUUGAAGAUGGAGCAAACUCACUUAUUAGGGUUAAGCUAAAGUUUGACUAUAGCCACAAUAUUUCAGUUUGAAAACUAUUGUCUUCAUAUUCAUUUUACCAAACAUCUGCAGUACAUAGUGAAAUUUUGCAUGUAGAACUUUAUCAGGGAAGACACAAUAAGUAAAUAUGCAAAACCACAAACACCAACCCCAAAUCUUAUGUUAAAAGCUCGUUAUACUGUAGAUUUCAAAUGGAAAAAGCAAUGAAAUUCAACAGAAAUCUGAAUCUCUUCCGGGACAUUUUUAUGACCCACUGUUAAUUGCUAGCUGUCGUGUGUUUCAGGUUUGUAUUUUCCCAGAUUUAUAGAGUUUAGCGGCAGUUCAAUAGUUUUUUCACAAAGAUAAACAUCCACAUUAGAGUCUAAUAAGAAUUGAUCAUUUCUUUUUCCAUUGGUGUAAAUCAGAAGUAACUCUAUUGAAGCCGAUGGAAUUACACAAGUGUAAGGAGAAUUUGGCCCACUUUCUGUAAACAUUGUACCACACUGGUAUACGGCACAGUACCUUAAUGUAUAUAUAAGCCCAGUUAUAAUGGGCCAGAGUUUCAGUUGUGCUCAGAAGCAACCAUUUAGACACCAAGUUGCGUGGUAAGAUUUUCCCAAAGAGGUUAGAAUGUUGGGUAGGGAGUAUUUUGAAAAUCAGGCCAAAUAAAUGUUUGUCCUGGGACAACUCUACCUCUUAAGAAGGCAGAAAGGAUGGUUUUGGGUUUACGUUCUGAACUAGAGUUAGACAAUCUGGAUUCUUUUCGGCCACAGCGCUCCUCAGUAGCUUUGGGUAAAAUACACGCAGUAUGUCUUCACUGCUUUUUUAAAAAGGGGUAGGGGAGGGAGGGUUCAUAACUCAGGUUAGCUAACUCAAAUUAAAAUCGCAGCGACAACGUGUCAGGUCAGUUUUUAAACUCGGGGGAGCAUCUUGAGUUCCACCCCAGGCUCCCUUAUAGGCUUUAAUUGAGCUACCAAGUUAAAAGCCUCACUACCGGGUCUUCACUGUUAUUUUAAGCAGAUUUCAGAGUAGCAGCCGUGUUAGUCGGUAUCCGCAAAAAGAACAAAGAACAGGAGUACUUGUGG